GAUGAACGCUGGCGGCGUGCCUAAUACAUGCAAGUCGAGCGAACGGACGAGAAGCUUGCUUCUCUGAUGUUAGCGGAGGACGGGUGAGUAACACGUGGAUAACCUACCUAUAAGACUGGGAUAAUUUCGGGAAACCGGAGCUAAUACCGGAUAAUAUUUUGAACCGCAUGGUUCAAAAGAGAAAGACGGUCUUGCUGUCACUUAUAGAUGGAUACGCGCUGAAUUAGCUAGUUGGUAAGGUAAAGGCUUACCAAGGCAACGAUGCAUAGCCGACCUGUGAGGGUGAUCGGCCACCUGAGAACUGAAACACGGUCCAUACGCCUACGGGAGGCAGCAGUAGGGAAUCGUCCGCAAUGGGCGGAAGCCUGACGGAGCAACGCCGCGUGAGAUGUGGAGGUCUUCGGAUCGUAAAACUCUGUUUUUAGGUAAGAACAUAUGUGUAAGUAACUGUGCACAUCGUGACGGUACCUAAUCAGAAAGCCACGGCUAACUACGUG
Molecule: ribosomal RNA, 497 nt
Filed under: uncultured bacterium
Lineage: Bacteria
Description: partial 16S ribosomal RNA
Rfam family: Bacterial small subunit ribosomal RNA
Source: RNAcentral